CACGCAAAGCCUACAGGAACCUCAGCAUAGCCAUACAGUUUAAGUUCACCCACACUUUAUAUAAAUAAAAAAGGUUUACAGUGCAAAUACUGCUGUUGCAUAUACUGUGCAUAAAUAAAAAGGGUUUACAGUGCAAAUACUG
Long non-coding RNA from Cyprinus carpio (common carp), 142 nucleotides. RefSeq lists it as uncharacterized. The record is from RefSeq and is a predicted model, not a curated record. The transcript is spliced from 2 exons. NCBI's taxonomy places the organism in Eukaryota, Metazoa, Chordata, Actinopteri, Cypriniformes, Cyprinidae.